This 543-nucleotide ribosomal RNA is filed under the name uncultured bacterium. RNAcentral describes it as "partial 16S ribosomal RNA". It matches the Rfam family "Bacterial small subunit ribosomal RNA", at positions 355 to 888 of the family's 1533-position model. The record is from RNAcentral.
UGGGGAAUUUUGGACAAUGGGCGAAAGCCUGAUCCAGCAAUGCCGCGUGUGUGAAGAAGGCCUUCGGGUUGUAAAGCACUUUUGUCCGGAAAGAAAUCCUUGGCUCUAAUACAGUCGGGGGAUGACGGUACCGGAAGAAUAAGCACCGGCUAACUACGUGCCAGCAGCCGCGGUAAUACGUAGGGUGCAAGCGUUAAUCGGAAUUACUGGGCGUAAAGCGUGCGCAGGCGGUUUGCUAAGACCGAUGUGAAAUCCCCGGGCUCAACCUGGGAACUGCAUUGGUGACUGGCAGGCUAGAGUAUGGCAGAGGGGGGUAGAAUUCCACGUGUAGCAGUGAAAUGCGUAGAGAUGUGGAGGAAUACCGAUGGCGAAGGCAGCCCCCUGGGCCAAUACUGACGCUCAUGCACGAAAGCGUGGGGGAGCAAAACAGGAUUAGAUACCCUGGUAGUCCACGCCCUAAAACGAUGUCAACUAGUUGUUGGGGAUUCAUUUCCUUAGUAACGUAGCUAACGCGUGAAGUUGACCGCCUGGGGAGUACGGUCG